UGGGGGCGGUGGGGGGCGGG
Molecule: microRNA, 20 nt
Filed under: Bos taurus (domestic cattle)
Lineage: Eukaryota; Metazoa; Chordata; Mammalia; Artiodactyla; Bovidae
Description: bta-miR-1777a
Source: miRBase by way of RNAcentral